AUCUGUUCCUGGACUACAACUCCCAUCAUCCCCUGCUCGCUGGGAAUGAUGGGAGUUGUAGUCCAGGAACAGAU
Molecule: non-coding RNA, 74 nt
Organism: Podarcis lilfordi (Lilford's wall lizard)
Lineage: Eukaryota; Metazoa; Chordata; Lepidosauria; Squamata; Lacertidae
Source: the annotation of a GenBank genome assembly